CGCUCGUCUGCUGUCCCCUACUAUCCAAAUCCAAGACCAAAUGAAAUGCCACGCUCUCCAGUGGAAAUCUAGCUCUCCUGGAAAUAGUAACACCAAGCACUGUAGGUUUCUCCAAGGAAAGAACUCGCAAGACGUAACCGACAUGGGCAGGAAAAUGAUAAAGCAGCCAUCACGCCACGCUCCUUUCACACAAUCUACAAUCCGACUAGGUAGAAAUCACCACCUGGUUACUGCAACAAAGACGAGCACCCACUCAGGUUCCUCUUUUGGGGCAUCGACGGAAACAAGAGAAGGCUGAAUAUGGGCUGGCAGUAAACCAAUGUACACGCAUACACAAAAACACGCACAUCGCUGAGGUGCACCGUCAAGUGCUUCAAUGGUUGGCAGGGCUGUGUCUCCAGCAUCUCUCCACAGUGAUAGGCCGGUGGUAGAUUGCCCUCGGGAUGUUUCUGUCAUCUACACAACACAGUCAGAGCAAACAGAGAAGCCUGGCUGCCUCACCCAUUACACACACAAGUAGAGUACACACACACACACAAAGUUGCAUUAGACUUGACUCUCUCAUCAUCACUCACAAACACACAGGGCAGACUAAAAGACUAUGUAAAAGAAAAAAGUUAUUCUCAAGACAAAGAAAUCCCACUGUGACAGAUGAUGAUAUAUUAUCUAUGCCCAGGUUUAGACAGAACACUGGGUUUCCACAUGCAAGACUUACACUCUGCAAUAUACAGAUAGAUCACAAUCCUCCCCCCUCCUCCUCCCGGCCUGCCUCCAUCUCUCCCGUUCUUUGCUUAUAAUGGAUGCUUUAAGUGACUGCCAUUGAAGAGGAAUAUUCGCCAGAGGAAUAUUGAACUGCGCUGCUGAAUGUCUCCACUUGUCUGAUGCUGAUAUGAAUGUCAAACACUGUCUAGGCAUAGAAAAACAAUUAAAAGGGGGAUUGAGAUCUGACAGCAGAACAGAGGUUUUAAAAGAAAGACAAAACAAAGACACUAAGACAAGAAUCCGAGGGUAAAGCAUUACAAAUUAAGUAAACGCUGCGUGCGUUGUUCCAACACUACACAGCGGGGAAAUAA
Molecule: long non-coding RNA, 1073 nt
Organism: Cottoperca gobio
Lineage: Eukaryota; Metazoa; Chordata; Actinopteri; Perciformes; Bovichtidae
Exons: 3
Source: RefSeq, a predicted model, not a curated record